RNAcentral lists this ribosomal RNA (253 nucleotides) under uncultured bacterium. Its description in RNAcentral is "partial 16S ribosomal RNA". It matches the Rfam family "Bacterial small subunit ribosomal RNA", at positions 524 to 776 of the family's 1533-position model. The record is from RNAcentral.
UACAGAGGUCCCAAGCGUUGUUCGGAUUCAUUGGGCGUAAAGGGUGCGUAGGUGGCGUCGUAAGUCAGGUGUGAAAUUUCGGAGCUUAACUCCGAAACUGCAUUUGAUACUGCGGUGCUUGAGGACUGGAGAGGAGACUGGAAUUUACGGUGUAGCGGUGAAAUGCGUAGAUAUCGUAAGGAAGACCAGUGGCGAAGGCGGGUCUCUGGACAGUUCCUGACACUGAGGCACGAAGGCCAGGGGAGCAAACGGG